GGGCCCUUAGCUCAGCUGGUUAGAGCACCUGACUCAUAAUCAGGGGGUCGUGGGAUCGUGCCCCUCAGGGCCCACUA
Molecule: transfer RNA, 77 nt
Filed under: Pseudochryseolinea flava
Lineage: Bacteria; Pseudomonadati; Bacteroidota; Cytophagia; Cytophagales; Fulvivirgaceae
Description: Chryseolinea flava tRNA-Met
Rfam family: tRNA
About the family: Transfer RNA (tRNA) molecules are approximately 80 nucleotides in length. Their secondary structure includes four short double-helical elements and three loops (D, anti-codon, and T loops).
Source: RNAcentral